GAUUUAUUUUAUUCUUGUUUAGGAAUUUGCUUAAAUUUAACUUUAUAUGUAGAUGGUUGUUUAGCUUUAUCUAGAAGAUGCGUUGAUUUUUAAUCAGUAAAUAGAAUUAGUAGUUUGGGAGUUCAAUAGCUAGUUAUAAUAUUAGUAUUGAUAAAAUAUGUGCCAGCAUUCGCGGUUAUACAUAAAAUACUAGUGAAUUUAAUCAGUAAAUAUAGUUGUUUCGUGGAAUGAAUAUAAGCUGAGGGUUUUUGAGUGAAAUCUAAUCUUUCGUGAAUUAUUGAUGAAUAUGGAAGAGGCUAUGAAAUUUAAUUAAAUAAACUAGGAUUAGAUACCCUAUUAUUUUAAAUGUAAAGUUAUUAAAACUAGAGUAGUAUUAGUUAUGAUCUUGAAACUUAAAGAAUUUGGCGGUAUUUUAGUCUAUUUAGAGGAAUCUGUCCCUUAAUCGAUAGUCCACGUUGAACCUUACUUAAUCUAAGGUAUGUAUAUCGCCGUUGUUGAAAAUCUUAUUAGGGUAAAUUUCUUGAUUUCUUAUUAGUAAAUAUUUCAGGUCAAGGUGCAGCUUAUGAUCAAGUGGAGAUGGAUUACAAUAUUAUUAAAUAAACGGAUUUUUGAGUAAAGAAUUGAAAUGAAGGAGGAUUUAACUGUAAAUUUGUGAAGAUUGUCAAAUUGAUAAAAGCUCUAAGAUGUGCACACAUCGCCCGUCACUCUCGUAAUUAAGAUGAGAUAAGUCGUAACAAAGUAGGUGUACCGGAAGGUGUAGCUAGAAUGUC
RNAcentral lists this non-coding RNA (770 nucleotides) under Elliptorhina javanica. Lineage: Eukaryota; Metazoa; Arthropoda; Insecta; Blattodea; Blaberidae. The record is from RNAcentral.